RNAcentral lists this ribosomal RNA (362 nucleotides) under uncultured bacterium. RNAcentral's name for it is "partial 16S ribosomal RNA". It matches the Rfam family "Bacterial small subunit ribosomal RNA", at positions 338 to 697 of the family's 1533-position model. The record is from RNAcentral.
CCUACGGGUGGCAGCAGUGAGGAAUAUUGGGCAAUGGACGCAAGUCUGAACCAGCCACGCCGCGUGCAGGAAGACGGCUCUCUGAGUUGUAAACUGCUUUUGGACGAGGGAAAACGCAGAUACGUGUAUCUGUCUAAAAGUAUCGUACGAAUAAGGAUCGGCUAACGCCGUGCCAGCAGCCGCGGUAAUACGGAGGAUUCAAGCGUUAUCCGGAUUUAUUGGGUUGAAAGGGUGCGUAGGCGGUCGUAUAAGUUAGAGGUGAAAUCCCGAGGCUCAACUUCGGGAUUGCCUCUGAUACUGUUCGGCUAGAGAGUAGUAGCGGUAAGCGGAAUGUAUGGUGUAGCGGUGAAAUGCGUAGAGAU